Molecule: long non-coding RNA, 3823 nt
Organism: Rattus norvegicus (Norway rat)
Lineage: Eukaryota; Metazoa; Chordata; Mammalia; Rodentia; Muridae
Source: RefSeq, a predicted model, not a curated record
CAGGUCUGUACUCCUUGAACUCUGGAGGACUGCAACAACUUCGAGGCUAGCCUGGGCUACAUCAUAAACUUCAGGAAAGCCUGGGCUACAGGAAUGCGUGAAUGAGACCCUGAUUCUACAAAAACCAAAACCAAACAAAAAGUGAUGAAGAGGUUAAAAUAUGCAAAUAUCUAAGUGGUCUAACUUCUUGAUUACUCUGGGUAUACACCCAGUAAUGGUAUGGCUGGAACAUAUGGUCCUAUUUUUAAUUUCUUGAUGAACAUUCAUAGUAAUUCCUGUAGUGGCCACACUAACAUUUCCACCAUCUCUCUAUUUACAGUAGCAACAUCACAGAACCAACCUAGAUGCUGUCCAACAAAUGAACAGAUAUUGAGCUUGACCCAACAAGGGGUCCUUCUGUGAAGAUAGCUCUCCACAGAUCUGCAUGCAAGCACAGGAUUGGGUUCAACUCCAGAAGCCUUCAGCUGGUUCUCAGUUGCGACCUGACUUCCAGUAUGUGAACUAUGAUGGCUGAGGCUGUUGGAUCGACAGGAUCUAGAAUCACCUAGAAAACAAACCUCAGGGCAAGCCUAUGACAGAGCUUCUAGGGGGGGUUAACUGAAGUGGGAAAACUCACCCUAAAUGUGGGAGGACUGAGCUGAGGUCUUGGACUGAAUAAAAAGGAGACAGCAGAACACCAGCAUUCAUCUCUGUUUCCUUACUGCGGACUAAGCCACCUCGAGCUCCUAUAUUGCCUUGCCCUCUCUACCACGAUGUGCUGUAUCCUCAAACAGCUUACGUGAAUUCAUCAUUCCCGAGGUUGCCUUUGCUGGGUAUGGUGCUGCAGUGGCAGGGAAAGUCAUGAACACAGACCAUCAUUUUAUUGUGCACUUUUGGAAACCCCUCUCUAAAUGAACACGCCCUCUUUCGACUACAGUCACCAAGACCUGAGUUAAGAAUAUGACUGACUGACAACCCCAUUCUCCUGUGUCACUGACCCCCUCAGAGGUAAAAGGGUGGUCUCUUAACUUCUCUGUAAACAGAGAGGGAGAGCUCUGAUGUGAACACACUCCAAGAUGAAACUUGAAUGAAUGAGUUCAUAGUUUGAGACAGAGCUUCAUUCUAUCCAGACAGGGCUAAACUCACUGUGUAGCCCAGGUUGGCUAUUGUCUUCCUACAUCAGCCUCCUGAGAGCUGGGAUUACGGUGAGGACCACCAAUCCCAGCUCUUUCCUUCUUACUCUUCACCUCCCAUCCAUAUAGCAAGCAGUCUCUAGUUCUUACUAUAUUGUUUUAGGCCCCAAAGGCACAGAUAUGGGCUGAUAGCCCAUGGGAAGGAUGGGACAAAUCACCCUGCUGUCAUAGCAUUGUAGCAAAGCUGAGGCAACUCACAGAGCCAGCAUAUGGUGGCCUCUGAGGCCCCAUGGGACCAGCCCUGCCUUCCUUACCUCCCAGACAGGAAGGUCUUAGCCUGCACCUGCUUGUAUGGCUGUUCUCUCUAUCUGGAAGGUUCUUCUUCCUCAGUAAAUGAGUUGUUCAGCCAUUCUCUUCCAUGAGCUCACUGCUCACCUCGGGCAAUGGCUUACUCUUCUGUUGUAAGACAACUCCUCCUGCUCACCCUCACCCUACUGCCUACCCUCCCCCGCCUACCCUCCCUCCUGCCAAUAGUACUUCAGUCUUUUUUACGGUAAUGGCUAAUCAUCCUUGCCAGUCUGAUAGACUGAGAAUCGCCUAUCAGAUUAACGAAGCAGACCUCUGGGUAUGUCUGGGAGGACGUUUCUAGAUCAUGAAGGCACCAAUCAAGUCAAUGGCUUAAUCCAUGGAUAGAUUAAAGAUGUGAAUAGACUACUGGCAAGUAGUAGAUCUGUGAAACGUGGGCCCUGGUUGGAAGAAGUAGGUCAGCAGGCCCUGUCUUCCAUAUAUCACUCUUGUCCUGGUUCUCUUUCUGUCUGCCACAGGUACAGAAGCCCCAGCCCCCACCGCAUACUCCCAUCGCCAUGUGCGUGGGGACCUUGGACAGAACUCUUACUAUGAGCCGAAAUAAAUCAUUCCUCUCUGAUGUUGUUCUUCUUUGCUUCUUAUCAUAGGGACACAAAAAGAACUGCACAUUACUUAAUCCUACUGCCCCCUGACAUUUUUCUUGCCUAGUUAUCUCUGGAGCGUCAACCUUUACUACUGUGUGGGUUCUAUGAAGGUGGGGGUCUCAUUAUACUGUGCUCUUUACUCUAUUAUCCAAUGGUAGACUACCUGCCAUGUAGGGGAUCAAUGAAUGCCUGUUAUGUGGGGGGCAGGGAAUAGAGGGCGUGGCCAUUGCACGUUAGAAGGAGACAGACCCUCAAACCAGGCUCAUCUCUUCCCUGUGAAGCCCAGACUCUUGAAGCCUCAACUGGAUGGAUAUCCUCCACUCACAAAUAUGUCUACAAGAACCCCCUCACAGGACUUCCUCUCCUGGUUGGAAGAGCACAGAGCACAGCCCAGCCUGGCUCUUCUUCCUAAUAGAAAGCACUGUUAGGAACUUUGGCCAAAGCACAGGACUGGGCUGCAGCGACCCAGGAACCCUCAUCCCCUCCUGAUUGCAUCCACAUAAGGCUAAGAUGAGUUUUCGCCUGCCUGAAACAACCAAUGUGCAGUCAGGGACCAGCCUGGAAGGAAAGGCUGCUGUGGGGCUUGGAUUCCCAGAAGAGCAGCUCACAGGUGACCCUGGCACAGCUUUGCCUGAACCUCACCUUACUGCCUACACAGCCCUUCCUUGGGGUGGUAUUACUGAACAGUGGCACAAUCCUGGAGGAAUUCUGGAGGAAAAGGCCACCUAGCCUGGGACCGGGGAGGACAUCUGUGCUCCUCUGAUGUAACUGUUUGAAGGGAAUGGGGAGCAAGCCUGUGAUGGCAUCAGGGUUAAUAGAGCCUCCUGCAAACUUGGAAUCCAAAUGGCUCUGGCAGCUGCAUCGCAAUCUAAACAGGCUUUCCUGUGGAUUUUUCUGAUUAAUGCAAAUUUGUUUUGCUUUGCAAAUUGAAAAUCAGUUGCAAGCACCUGGUGUAAUAAUUCCAGUAGGAUGCUGAGCUCCCCGAAGGGAAACCGUGUAUCCUCACAGCCCCCAGUGCCCAGACUUGCCCAUCCUGUCCCACCUUUGGUUCUUGGGUGAGCAGGCUCUGUUCUUAACCACACAGAAAACAGCUCAAGGCAUCCUACCACAAACUGAGUACACCUCGGUUCCCACUGUGACUCAUGCUGUCUUUUUUCCUCCUGAUGCAAGGUGACAGAUACAACCAGGGAAGUUUUCCAAACCCUUCCUCAGAAGCCCACCCUGUGCCUCCUGCAGGGAUGUCAUUAUUGUUAGUGGCUCCAGCAUGGCACUGUUUUAUCUUUCAGAAAGGCAACUACCAGAGUUCAGGAGAUGAAGUCCCAGGUCCCUUUUCUCUGUGCCUGUCCCAACAGCCACACAUCAACAUGCAAAGCUUCCUCCCAAGAUUAAAAACAGAGACCUACUUGGAGGGGGGGGGGGCUCACAAGGAAAGCUAGUGACAGGAGAGACCUUGUAAGAAGAGUCCUUUAACUGCUUCUCCUGUUCUGCCCAGCCUUGACCUAGGUACCUGUCAAAGCAGAACUAGGGAGUUACGUGCUGAGGGCCGGGAACACAUCAGCAGCCUGUCCCCUCCUCCACCGGAUGGCUACAGUGUAUUGUUCAUUCAGUUCUGAGGGAAGAUGGUUAUGAACGGCCGGCUGCUCGCUCCCCCCUCCUCUGCCACGCAAUUUAAAGGCAAGAGACCGAGAAACACAUUGGAAAUCCAAAUUAAAAUAUACUCCCGCAGCAAUCACGCACCCAAUUAAAGUCACCCGGAGCCUA